This 253-nucleotide ribosomal RNA is filed under the name uncultured bacterium. RNAcentral describes it as "partial 16S ribosomal RNA". It matches the Rfam family "Bacterial small subunit ribosomal RNA", at positions 524 to 776 of the family's 1533-position model. The record is from RNAcentral.
UACGUAGGGGGCUAGCGUUAUCCGGAAUUACUGGGCGUAAAGCGUGCGCAGGCGGUGAUGUAAGACAGUUGUGAAAUCCCCGGGCUCAACCUGGGAACUGCAUCUGUGACUGCAUUGCUGGAGUGCGGCAGAGGGGGAUGGAAUUCCGCGUGUAGCAGUGAAAUGCGUUGAUAUCAUUAGGAACACCGGUGGCGAAGGCGGCUUACUGGGUCUUUUCUGACGCUGAGGCACGAAAGCCAGGGGAGCGAACGGG